CUCUGCCCACCGCCCCUGCCCCCUACUCAUGCUCUCUCUCUCUUUCUCUCUCACUCUCUAAAAAAUAAACUUUAAAAAAAUACAAUAAAACCAUGGCAAUGAGCAACUUCCAAUGACUCAAGCAUCCAAGAUACUGGAGGUGAGACACAAUUCUCCAGCUUUGGAGAUAUUCUGCAGUUUUGGAGAUAAAGGCUGUGAGUGUGGGCAGAUGAAGGCCGCUAGGAGACCCCCCAGCUGAGACCCCCUAAGGCUAUAUCACAGGUCCUUUUUCGUAGGCUUUGUUUCCACCCCUGUUCCUUUCUCCCCCUGCCCUAGAGUUUGCUGUUUUGUUCAUGCAGGUAUUUUCCUUCCUGAGGCCACCAAGGAUUCGGAGCAUCCACAGGUUAUCUGUCCCAGUUCCCGGCUGGCUCCUCACCAGGCUCUGACCUCACCUCGGCGUCAGUCUUAUCAGGUGUGGACAGAACUGUCUCCCCGCUCCGGGAGUUCUGAGCCCUGGAUCCCCUCCACACCCAGGCAGAGGAGGGCCGGGCACCUUGGAGACUGAACGCUGCUGUCACCUGCCAAAUCCGGAGCAGCCACAGAGGUCUGCAAACGCAGCCACGAGGCGCAGAAGCAGGAAGGAAAGGGAAGGUUUACCAAGUAUUGACAAGGAACAGAGCAGAUGCUGAGUUCUGCCAAACAGGAGAGAAGGGAGGAGAGUGACAGUAAAAGCCAGCCACCCCCCCCCACUUCAGUCCUCAUGGGGAUCCCGGCAAAGGGCAGCAAGGUCACAGUGGGGCUCCAGUCUCCUCCAGAAUGUGCUUCCUCCCAGGGAGCAGGGAGAUCCAGCCCAGCCCCGUCUUCUGAGAAGCCAGCCUUGGGAUGAGUGAAAGGAAAGGGAGGAAGACGGCUGGGCACCAGGGAGCGGGCGUGUGCCCUUGGCUCCUGAGCCGCCAGGCACGGUACCAGCGGUUGGUGCCAACUCCUAUUCCACAGUCACCAAGGACACUUCCUGGUGACCGCAACUCUGGUUUGUUUAGCUUCGUGAGGUUGAGUGCUCCUUGGCGUUAAUGGCCUGGGGGUGAAGUGGGGAACGGGAUAUUUCAUUGGAAUUCGUUACACACAGGCUCCUUUGUCCUGCUGCUCCAGACGCUUGUUUGUUUGCACCGAGACUCUUGCCUUUGUUGGACUGGUUAGUGUCUGUCAGUAAAUGAUAACUUAUCUGAACUGUCCACAGAAUCAUAGUUGUGCAUAGUUCUCAGCAGCUCCACGCAUCAGCGUUUUCACAUUCUAGGGCCUGGAAUGGAGCGGGGGUGGGGGGGGGCGGUCAGAGCACCCCCAGUCCUCGCCUGGUCCCAUCCUGGGGUGGGAGAGGUCCGGGUGAGCAGGAACUGGCCGCGUUGCCCUUGUCAGCAAGAGGAACAAGUAGGGACACUGGGAAUCUGCAUCUGGACAACUGUGCCCGAGAGAAGAGGGGAGGCCCGAGGAACAGAAAGCAAGUCCUUCCCCACAGGUUAUACUCCACGAGCAGGCCCGUCGCAAUUACACCCUGCAAGCCACAGCCAGGAGGUCCUCCUGCAGAAAUGCUCACAGGCGUGCUGAUGAUGGACUGCAAGGUUGUUCGUUGCGAGCGUUGCUGGAAACGGCCGAAGUCUGGAAACAAGCUAAACGCUAUCAAUAAAGGCCUGAUUAAAUAAUUUAUGGUCUGUGCAUCCGAUGGCACACUCUGAAGAAAGCUUCUCGUACGCCGGUCGCAUUCCUGUGGUUUGACUGGUAGUGGCUGGGGAGGCUUCACAUGGCAAUGCCCAAACCCCCAGAAGAAAGAGAGCAACCCAUUGCAAACACUUUCCAGCCUUUACUUGCGUGAUGUUUGCUGAAGUCCCUUUGGCCAAAGCACCUCACACAACCAAGCCCAAAUUCAAGGGGGAGAAACAAACUCCAUGUCUUCGAGUACAGUGGACAUCAGUUUUAAUCUACCACAUGGUGGAGCAGAGCGACCCUGGAGGUGGGCACGGUUGGGCCCUGGAAGUAGCCUUCUUGAGGUUGCUGAUACCAGAGGGUCAGCUGCAGACUGGGGCCGCAGGCAGCUCCGAACAGGGAUGCUGGACCUGGAGGAAUUGCCGGAGAGCCGGGAAGAAAGGACACCUAAGGAGCUGCCUCCACAGCGUGGGUGCGACUAGCAGGCGAAAAACCCAAGGACGGCGUGGUAUUGGUGGUGACAGGGGAGGGUGCAAAACACUUGACGGUUUCAAACACACACACAGAGAGAUUGUGAGGGUGGGGAAUAAGAAGGGUGCCUUUCCAAAGAUUCCAGACAAAAGUUCUAGCGCUUAUGGGCAUGUCUGAAGGAAAAGAACUCAGUGAGAGAGAGUUUCUCGCCUCUUCUUUAUUACACAAAAUGGCCACAUGUGUACCCAGGCCUUGUGCCAGGGUGCACCUCGAGCCACCCACAUGGCCUGUGCCUGGCUCUGAGGGGGGAUCCCAUCUCAGAGUAGCUCUGAGAGUGCUAAGCACUCUGGGUGAGCCCUUCUGUGGGCAAACAGGGAAAAUCCUUCAUCAUCUCUACCCUGUCAUUUGGGGUCCCUAGCUAACCCUGAGAACUUUCUCCUCUGUUCCAAGUGUCUACUGAGAGCUUUGCCAGAGGCUGUGUUCCCUGAGGCCUUGCUCACUCCCUUCAUACACAUGCCUGGGAAUGCAUAUGUGUGCAUGUAUGGACAUUCAUGUAGCCGCUACAAGACAAGGAACCGAGAGAAGUGACCGUAGCACUUUCUAGGCAUCCAACUUUGUCCCCUGCUCCCACUCCAGGCCAAGUUAGGUGACCCUCCCUCUCAUCAUGCCCUCUGCCUAUUUUAUUGCUGAAUUUCCAUACUGUUUCAAAUUGUUCAGGGGUGCCUGGGUGGCUUAGUUGGUUAAGUGUCCGACUUCAGCUCAGGUCAUGAUCUCACAGAUUGUGAGUU
Long non-coding RNA from Felis catus (domestic cat), 2936 nucleotides. RefSeq lists it as uncharacterized. The transcript is spliced from 3 exons. Lineage: Eukaryota; Metazoa; Chordata; Mammalia; Carnivora; Felidae. The record is from RefSeq and is a predicted model, not a curated record.